This 429-nucleotide ribosomal RNA is filed under the name uncultured archaeon. Its description in RNAcentral is "bacterial SSU rRNA". It matches the Rfam family "Archaeal small subunit ribosomal RNA", at positions 475 to 904 of the family's 1478-position model. The record is from RNAcentral.
ACCAGCUCUUCAAGUGGUCGGGAUGAUUAUUGGGCUUAAAGUGUCCGUAGCCGGUUUAGUAAGUUCCUGGUAAAAUCAGGUAGCUUAACUAUCUGUAUGCUAGGAAUACUACUAUACUAGAGGGCGGGAGAGGUCUGAGGUACUACAGGGGUAGGGGUGAAAUCUUAUAAUCCUUGUAGGACCGCCAGUGGCGAAGGCGUCAGACUGGAACGUGCCUGACGGUGAGGGACGAAAGCCAGGGGAGCGAACCGGAUUAGAUACCCGGGUAGUCCUGGCCGUAAACGAUGCAUACUAGGUGAUGGCCCGGCCAUGAGCCGUGUCAGUGCCGUAGGGAAACCGUUAAGUGUGCCGCCUGGGAAGUACGGUCGCAAGGCUAAAACUUAAAGGAAUUGGCGGGGGAGCACCACAAGGGGUGAAGCCUGGCGGUUC